Molecule: ribosomal RNA, 226 nt
Filed under: uncultured bacterium
Lineage: Bacteria
Description: partial 16S ribosomal RNA
Rfam family: Bacterial small subunit ribosomal RNA
Source: RNAcentral
CGGGUGAGUAAUGUAUGGGGAUCUGCCUGAUGGCGGGGGAUAACUACUGGAAACGGUAGCUAAUACCGCAUAACGUCGCAAGACCAAGAGGGGACCUUCGGGCCUCUUGCCAUCGGAUGUGCCCAGAUGGGAUUAGCUAGUAGGUGGGGUAACGGCUCACCUAGGCGACGAUCCCUAGCUGGUCUGAGAGGAUGACCAGCCACACUGGAACUGAGACACGGUCCAG